RNAcentral lists this unclassified non-coding RNA (240 nucleotides) under soil metagenome. Its description in RNAcentral is "partial contains 5.8S ribosomal RNA, internal transcribed spacer 2, and large subunit ribosomal RNA". The record is from RNAcentral.
AACAUCGCGCACCUGCGGGAACCUGCGGAGGGAUCAUUAAAAAAUCGUCCGAGCCGCAAGGCUCUAUUGUCUUGUGAAACGUUUGUGGGGUGAGUGAGGCUACAGUUCGUGAGCGGCGGGUGCGCUUGUUCAUGUAUGUGCGCGAGUGGGCCUGCCCGCCAGCGUCGCCGCGUUCUCCCAUACUAUUUUGUUAUAAAAGUGUGUCUUUGACGUUGAGGAAUGUAUCUGCAAUGCAUAUAU